GCGGCGAACGGGGUAGGAUCACGUAGGUGACGUACCCCCAGGACGGGGAUAGCCACGGGAAACUGUGGGUAAUACCCGAUGAACUUCCCUGUUUUGGAUGUGGGGAAGCAAACGUGUGAAUCGGCCUGGGGAGCGGCUUACGCGCUAUUAGCUUGUUGGUGGGGUAACGGCCUACCAAGGCGACGAUGGCUAGGGGGUGUGAGAGCAUGGCCCCCACCACUGGGACUGAGACACUGCCCAGACACCUACGGGUGGCUGCAGUCGAGAAUCUUCGGCAAUGGGCGAAAGCCUGACCGAGCGACGCCGCGUGCGGGAUGAAGGUCUUCGGAUUGUAAACCGCUUUCGGAGAGGAUGAAGUGUAUCGGGGUACUCCCCGAUAUUUGACAGAGUCUCAAAAGAAGCACGGGCUAAGUUCGUGCCAGCAGCCGCGGUAAUACGAACUGUGCGAACGUUAUUCGGAAUCACUGGGCUUAAAGGGUGCGUAGGCGGUGUUCUAAGUCAGGUGUGAAAGCCUCCGGCUCAACCGGAGAACUGCGCUUGAGACUGGAACACUCGAGUGAGGUAGGGGUGUGUGGAACUUCCGGUGGAGCGGUGAAAUGUGUAGAUAUCGGAAGGAACGCCGGUGGCGAAAGCGACACACUGGGCCUUGUCUGACGCUGAGGCACGAAAGCUAGGGGAGUGAACGGGAUUAGAUACCCCGGUAAUCCUA
This 709-nucleotide ribosomal RNA is filed under the name uncultured Planctomycetaceae bacterium. RNAcentral describes it as "bacterial SSU rRNA". It matches the Rfam family "Bacterial small subunit ribosomal RNA", at positions 95 to 798 of the family's 1533-position model. The record is from RNAcentral. Lineage: Bacteria; Pseudomonadati; Planctomycetota; Planctomycetia; Planctomycetales; Planctomycetaceae.